GGGGAUAUGAUGGAAUGGCAGACAUACGAGACUUAAAAUCUCGGGGCCUCACAGCCGUGUGGGUUCGACCCCCACUAUCCCCA
This 83-nucleotide transfer RNA is filed under the name Verrucomicrobia bacterium LW23. It matches the Rfam family "tRNA". From Rfam's summary of the family: Transfer RNA (tRNA) molecules are approximately 80 nucleotides in length. Their secondary structure includes four short double-helical elements and three loops (D, anti-codon, and T loops). Further hydrogen bonds mediate the characteristic L-shaped molecular structure. tRNAs have two regions of fundamental functional importance: the anti-codon, which is responsible for specific mRNA codon recognition, and the 3' end, to which the tRNAs corresponding amino acid is attached (by aminoacyl-tRNA synthetases). tRNAs cope with the degeneracy of the genetic code in two manners: having more than one tRNA (with a specific anti-codon) for a particular amino acid; and 'wobble' base-pairing, i.e. permitting non-standard base-pairing at the 3rd anti-codon position. Lineage: Bacteria; Pseudomonadati; Verrucomicrobiota. The record is from Rfam by way of RNAcentral.